RNAcentral lists this transfer RNA (69 nucleotides) under Glyptothorax fokiensis fokiensis. RNAcentral describes it as "tRNA-Ala". It matches the Rfam family "tRNA". Rfam says of the family: Transfer RNA (tRNA) molecules are approximately 80 nucleotides in length. Their secondary structure includes four short double-helical elements and three loops (D, anti-codon, and T loops). The record is from RNAcentral. Lineage: Eukaryota; Metazoa; Chordata; Actinopteri; Siluriformes; Sisoridae.
AAGGCUUUACCUUAAUUAAAGUGUCUGAUUUGCAUUCAAAAAAUGUGGGGUAAAGUCCUGCAAGUCUUA